GGCCUUGCGCUAUCAGAUGAGCCUAGGUCGGAUUAGCUAGUUGGUGAGGUAAUGGCUCACCAAGGCGACGAUCCGUAACUGGUCUGAGAGGAUGAUCAGUCACACUGGAACUGAGACACGGUCCAGACUCCUACGGGAGGCAGCAGUGGGGAAUAUUGGACAAUGGGCGAAAGCCUGAUCCAGCCAUGCCGCGUGUGUGAAGAAGGUCUUCGGAUUGUAAAGCACUUUAAGUUGGGAGGAAGGGUUGUAGAUUAAUACUCUGCAAUUUUGACGUUACCGACAGAAUAAGCACCGGCUAACUCUGUGCCAGCAGCCGCGGUAAUACAGAGGGUGCAAGCGUUAAUCGGAAUUACUGGGCGUAAAGCGCGCGUAGGUGGUUCGUUAAGUUGGAUGUGAAAUCCCCGGGCUCAACCUGGGAACUGCAUUCAAAACUGUCGAGCUAGAGUAUGGUAGAGGGUGGUGGAAUUUCCUGUGUAGCGGUGAAAUGCGUAGAUAUAGGAAGGAACACCAGUGGCGAAGGCGACCACCUGGACUGAUACUGACACUGANGUGCGAAAGCGUGGGGAGCAAACAGGAUUAGAUACCCUGGUAGUCCACGCCGUAAACGAUGUCAACUAGCCGUUGGGAGCCUUGAGCUCUUAGU
RNAcentral lists this ribosomal RNA (643 nucleotides) under Pseudomonas sp. S11A4. RNAcentral's name for it is "bacterial SSU rRNA". It matches the Rfam family "Bacterial small subunit ribosomal RNA", at positions 209 to 844 of the family's 1533-position model. Lineage: Bacteria; Pseudomonadati; Pseudomonadota; Gammaproteobacteria; Pseudomonadales; Pseudomonadaceae. The record is from RNAcentral.